GCUGCCAAAACUAGUAUACCCAUUAAAAUCAAAGAGUUGGGUGGAGCUGAUGACACAACCUCAAUGCAUCAAAAUCAAAGUCGAAUGUUUGCUCUUCGGCCAACACCAGUGAUGUUACAACAUUUCUUGAGACCGAAACGCGCUCCAACUUGUAUCGAAGAAGGGCCAACGCCAAUUUGCAUAAGACAACCGCCCAGCAACAAAUACGAGUGUGCAUUUAUUAAUUUCUGAUUGAACUUCCCCCAGUUGGAAUUGAUAUGGUCAAACCAGAUCUGCACACUUGAAGGAAAAUCUCAUGGGGUAAGGCAUUGCGAUAAUGCAUGUGGGCGAUGCGAUGUCAUUGGCACUGAGAAAAACUCUGUUUACCUUAAAAGACUAAUAUUAUGGUUUGAAGGUGUCAAAAUCUAUCUCGGUUAUUGACUAGUUUUAGCAAGUGUUAAACUUGUUUCUCACACAUAUCAAGCGAUGAAGGGGAAUUACCCCUCUAUCUUUAAUAUACCAAAAAUAUCGUUUAUUUAACAUUUCAUGGGUUAGUGGGCCACUGUUAUGAU
This is a long non-coding RNA of Drosophila eugracilis, 551 nucleotides long. RefSeq lists it as uncharacterized. Lineage: Eukaryota; Metazoa; Arthropoda; Insecta; Diptera; Drosophilidae. The transcript has 3 exons. The record is from RefSeq and is a predicted model, not a curated record.